Pelobates cultripes (western spadefoot toad) is the source of this 597-nucleotide non-coding RNA. NCBI's taxonomy places the organism in Eukaryota, Metazoa, Chordata, Amphibia, Anura, Pelobatidae. The record is from the annotation of a GenBank genome assembly.
UUCAGGUACAACCACACAUCCUUUCAGGCCUGGAGACAAAGUCUUGGUGAAAUCCCUCUUCAAAUCCGGAACCUUUGAUCCACCAUACAGCCCUCUGACAACCGUUGUUGCCAUCACCAGAAGAGCCGUUCUGACCGAGGAGAACCAGAUGUAGAUUCAUGCAAGCAGAUAAAAAAGAUGUCCCACAUCAAGCACUCUGGAUAUUCCAAGCAAAGAACGAUCAACCUCAGACUGAUCCAGAAUGAACAAUAGUGCUCGGUGCAACCUAAUUAUUCUUCUUUCCAUGGGACUUGGUUAUGCGCUGAUUAAUUUUAUUUGAUCCCAAAGAACAGUGAUAGUAAAAUUUGUUAUUAAUAUAUUUCACUCUAAGCAGGCUUUAUCUUCUUCAUCAUGGGAAACAGACAAUCAUUUUAUUGGAUCUGUAAAGAAUUUAUACCAAGCCCUAAAUUUAAAUAAUUGUUUAAUAAACCUUAAUUCGUCCAGGAGGGAGGGACAGUCUUAUUAUAGCCAUGGCUCCCCGGAGAUUUUCUUCAGAAAUAACGGUUCUGAAGUUUUUUUUCUUCCCUGAGUGCUAUAAUAGACAAUCAAUUAAUUUAC